This 735-nucleotide ribosomal RNA is filed under the name uncultured bacterium. Its description in RNAcentral is "bacterial SSU rRNA". It matches the Rfam family "Bacterial small subunit ribosomal RNA", at positions 66 to 779 of the family's 1533-position model. The record is from RNAcentral.
ACGCGAAAGUUUCCUUCGGGAGGCGAGUAGAGUGGCGCACGGGUGAGUAACACGUAGGUAAUCUACCUUUGGAUGGGGAAUAACAACCGGAAACGGUUGCUAAUACCGCAUAAUGCAGCGGCACCUAAUGGUGACAGUUGUUAAAGCGGGGGAUCGAAAGACCUCGCGUCUGAAGAGGAGCCUGCGGCGGAUUAGCUAGUUGGUAAGGUAAUGGCUUACCAAGGCGAUGAUCCGUAACCGGCCUGAGAGGGCGGUCGGUCACACUGACACUGACAUACGGGUCAGACUCCUACGGGAGGCAGCAGUCGGGAAUUUUGGGCAAUGGGCGAAAGCCUGACCCAGCAACGCCGCGUGAAGGAUGAAAUCCCUCGGGAUGUAAACUUCGCAAGAACAGGAAGAAUAAGUAAGGGUUAAUAUCUCUUACGAUGACGGUACUGUUUGUAAGCUCCGGCUAACUCCGUGCCAGCAGCCGCGGUAAUACGGGGGGAGCAAGCGUUGUUCGGAUUUACUGGGCGUAAAGGGCGCGUAGGCGGCCACCGCAAGUCAGUUGUGAAAUCUCUGGGCUUAACCCAGAAAGGUCAACCGAUACUGCGGGGCUAGAGUGCAGAAGGGGCAACUGGAAUUCUCGGUGUAGCGGUGAAAUGCGUAGAUAUCGAGAGGAACACCUGCGGCGAAGGCGGGGUGCUGGGCUGACACUGACGCUGAAGCGCGAAAGCUAGGGGAGCGAACGGGAUU